GAUGAACGCUGACAGAAUGCUUAACACAUGCAAGUCGACCCGAGUCUUCGGACUUGGGUGGCGCACGGGUGAGUAACGCGUAAAGAACUUGCCUCUUAGACCGGGACAACAUCUGGAAACGGAUGCUAAUACCGGAUAUUAUGGUUUUUUCGCAUGGAGGAAUCAUGAAAGCUGGAUGCGCUAAGAGAGAGCUUUGCGUCCCAUUAGCUAGUUGGUGAGGUAACGGCCCACCAAGGCAAUGAUGGGUAGCCGGCCUGAGAGGGUGAACGGCCACAAGGGGACUGAGACACGGCCCUU
RNAcentral lists this ribosomal RNA (297 nucleotides) under uncultured bacterium. RNAcentral's name for it is "partial 16S ribosomal RNA". It matches the Rfam family "Bacterial small subunit ribosomal RNA", at positions 28 to 334 of the family's 1533-position model. The record is from RNAcentral.